This is an RNA transcript of Ctenopharyngodon idella (grass carp), 21889 nucleotides long. It is a transcript of the gene named histone-lysine N-methyltransferase 2D-like, with no coding region annotated. Lineage: Eukaryota; Metazoa; Chordata; Actinopteri; Cypriniformes; Xenocyprididae. The record is from RefSeq and is a predicted model, not a curated record. The transcript is spliced from 2 exons.
AGAGAGAUAAAAAAAAAAAGAAUGAAUCUCAUUCCUUUUGUAACAGACAGAAAGUGCCAUGUCUGUUUAACUGAGCAGGCCUGUUCUGUGACCUUAUACUUUAAACAAAACUAUUGACAUUAGUUAUAAUGAGUAAUAAUGCUCAGAUAUGCUUGGAAUUUGGAUCUCUUCCCAGCACACAAUGCCACAAUCUACAAUUCAGGUGGAGAGUUUCUGGAAAUGUCCCAGUCUUGUUGAUUAAGUCUUUUAUGGAAUGUUGUUUAUGGAAAACGUGAGUGGUGCUUACCAGUGCAAAAGUUGCAACCACAAUGCUAGGGUGUUGUGGUUGUUAAACUACUGAUCUAAGUAAAAAAAAAAAAAAGCCCCUAAAAUAUUCUGAUCCCUUUAUAUGGCUUCAAUGUCAAGUGUAUGGGGGUUUUAUAGUCAGAUAGGUGGUAAAAGCGUGGUCAACAUGAGCAAAGUCAAUAAUGAUGCACAAAGCACUGCUAAGAUAGAGGACACUUUCAAGCCAAACAGCUUUUUGUUGGUCAUUGCGGCAAAUUCGUGUGACCAUCUUAAACCCAAUGACAUUUUUCACCCUCAAUCAAAAUGUCUGGUUGCACAAAUUCCUAUUGAAAUUUUGCAGAGCAAUGGUAAUUGUGAAUACACCUUACAAAAAUAAUAAAUCUUUCCUCAACAGCUCAAGCAUAAACAAAGAAGUUGAAUAAUUAGUCAUAGAAGCUUGUUCAAAUAGUAAUAGUGAUGUUUGUCUUAGCAAGAAAAACUAUGUAUAAAAGCUUUGAGAUUUUUUAGCCUGAUAUUUUAUUCAUCAAAGAUAUUUCAAACUUGCUGAUUUGAACACAUUGGUUCAGGGUAAGUAUCACUUAUAAAAUGGAUGAAGCCCUAUCAGUGACCCUAUCAGUGGAAUAGAGAAAAGGCAUAUUAUUGCUCUUUUACAAUUUUGGGACGUUUUUUUUUUUAAAAUUUGAAUAAAAUGAAAACUAAAAGACUUUCAAAUCACAUGUGCCAAUAUUUUAUUCACAAUAGAACAUAGAUAACAUAACAAAUGUUUAAACUGAGAAAUUUUACAGUUUUAUCCACUAAAUGAGCUCAUUUCAAAUUUAAUGCCUGCUACAGGUCUCAAAAAAGUUGGCACGGGGGCAACAAUUGGCUGAAAAAGCAAGAAAUUUUGAAAAGAUUCAGCUGGGAGAACAUCUAGCAACUAAUUAAGUUAACUGAUAUCAGGUCUGUAACAUGAUUAGCUAUAAAAGGGAUGUCUUAGAGAGGCAGAGUCUCUCAGAAGUAAAGAUGGGCAGAGCUGUGAAAGAGUGUGUAAAAAGAUUGUGGAGUACAAAACACAAUCCUCAACAUCAACGUAAAAACAAUGUUCCUCAACGUCAAUUUGCAAAGGCUUUGCAAAUCUCAUCAUCUACAGUGCAUAACAUCAUCAAAAGAUUCAGAGAAACUGGAGAAAUCUCUGUGCGUAAGGGACAAGGCCGAAGACUUUUAUUGAUGCCCUUCGGGUCCUCAGACGACACUCAUCGGCAUGAUUGUGUUGAUGACAUUACUAAAUGGGCCCAGGAAUACUUCCAGAAACCACUGUCGGUAAACACAAUCCGCUGUGCCAUCUGCAGAUGCCAACUAAAGCUCUAUCAUGCAAAAAGGAAGCCAUAUGUGAACAUGGUCCAGAAGUGCUGUCGUGACCUGUGGGCCCAUUUAAAAUGGACUGUUUCAAAGUGGAAAAGUGUUCUAUGGUCAGACGAGUCCAAAUUUGACAUUCUUGUUGGAAAUCACGGACGCCGUGUCCUCCGGGCUAAAGAGGAGGGAGACCUUCCAGCGUGUUAUCAGCGUUCAGUUCAAAAGCCAGCAUCUCUGAUGGUAUGGGGGUGCAUAAGUGCAUACGGUAUGGGCAGCUUGCAUGUUUUGGAAGGCACUAUGAAUGCUGAAAGGUAUAUAAAGGUUUUAGAGCAACAUGCUCUCCUCCAGACAAUGUCUAAGGCCUUGUGUAUUUGAGCAGGACAAUGCAAAACCACAUACUGCAGCUAUUAUAACAGCAUGGCUUCGUCGUAGAAGAGUCCGGGUGCUGAAUUGGCCUGCCUGCAGUCCAGAUCUUUCACCUAUAGAGAAAAAUACGUCAAAGACGACCACAAACUCUUUAGCAGCUGGAAACAAACCUAUAUCAGGCAAGAAUUGGACCAAAUUUCAACACUAAAACUCCAGAAGUUCAUAACUUCGAUGCCCAGACGUCUUCACACUGUUUUAAAAAGAAGAGGAGAUGCUACACCAUGGUAAACAUGCCCCCAUCCCAACUAUUUUGAGACCUGUAGCAGGCAUCAAAUUUGAAAUGAGCUCAUUUUGUGCAAAAAAUUGUAAAAUUUCUCAGUUUAAACGCUUAUGUUAUCUAUGUUCUAUUGUGAAUAAAAUAUUGGCUCGUGUGAUUUGAAAGUCUUUUAGUUUUCAUUUUAUUCAAAUUUAAAAAAACGUCCCAACAUUUCCGGAAUUCAGGUUGUAAUAUUAACAGCAAAUUUACUUCUUUAUGGAAGUUUCCCUUUGAGGAAUCAAAGCUGUACGCUCAGUCCAAAAUAGCGCAUUUCUGGUUUAAGGUCGGUGCUGUCCAAGCUGUUUUUUUUCUGAAUCAUUCUCUUUCAUCUGUUUCCUGUUUUGAGUAAGGCUACAUUGCAUUUGCAGGUGGUGGGAAAUCUCACACUCACACUCCUCACCCACUUUAUGCCCCACAGAAAACACUGCAGAAGCAAAAACAUCUGCCGUAGUCUGUGGGAGAACACUGAAUUAAAUCUAAAGCCCAGAGCCAAACACAAAUAUACAUGCUCAGGGUUUUUUUAGGGUCUUUCCUGGGUCUGUUGGUGCAUGUGGCUGCUGUCAGCCACUCUGUGUGUGAAGCCCGUGAGAGCUGGAAUUAUACAAGAGGUCACACGACUCAAGCUGUGAGAGAGUGCUGUAGGGAAACAAGCACAGGCCUGAUAUGACUGUCCUUAAAUAAGAUCUGUGCACCACCUUUUGGACUUUAGCUGGGCCAAGCAAAUUAAAAACACCUCAAUAACAGUAAACCGGGGUAGCCAACUCUGCUCCUGGAGGGCUACCUUGAUGCAGAGUUCAUUUCUAAGCCUUUUCUUCAACAUACCUGCCUGUAAUUUUCAAGUAAUCCUGAACAGCUUGAUUAGCUAGUGUGUUUGAUUAGCUAAACUCUGCAGGAUGGUACAGUAGUAGGGUUGGAUACUUCAGCAGUAGAAGGUGUCAGAUCUAUCAACUAGUUUCUGAAAUCUUGUCACUUCCUGUAGAUUUCGCAAAAUGUGGCUUGGAGUUUACUGAGGAAAAGAAAAAGAUUAAGAGGCAUCAAAAACAUUGGGCCAGAACAUAUUUGUUGGGAUGUGGAUUCUCUGCUAAACUUCCACCUUACUGCUAAGGCCAUGAGAGCCUGCCCACUAAGAGUCAACAAGAAAAUUCCAAAUUAUUCAUUGUUCCCUGAGGCUGUGAAGACUCGGUAGGGCCGUUAACUCAGCAGGGAGUUGAUAUAUUGGGCAGUUAACUUCCCCCUGCUGACAAACACAUUUGUGUGCACCCACUCCCUUCAUUUUCAAAUCCUUAUGUAAAUUAGGCUAAUGGCAAAGGGAAAAUGGUUAGUAAACUGUUAGCUUUUAAGGAUCUUCAGCAGAAGUGUUUAUGCGAUUUGAAAGGCUUUAUGUGAUAAACCCAUCCUGAAUGAGUAACCUACUGCUCUUAUUUGAAAGCUUGGACUAGCUUCAUUGUCACCUAAGCCUGAUUCCUGCUCUUCAGCCUAUGUUUCGUCCACAGAAAGAUGCUCAGGGUUGUUUUAGGAUGCAGAUGAACCUACCUUGGGUCAUAGUGUGACCCAAAAACGGCUCCAGAGGUUUGAGUGUAAGUCAGAAGUGCAUUUUAUUUCAGCCCCUCUGCUAACACUUUGAGUUAGCCUGACGAGAACUGGCAUUCUUUUAACUGUAACCUAGUUUGCCCUGAGAGUUUAUGUAGUGGCUCUUUCCACCUGAAUGUGUGUGUCCUAGCUUAACCCACCCUUUCUAGAAAUGUAGCUAAAUCUCCUCAACACAUUCAAUGCUGCUUUCCAGUUACUAAUAAUCUACACAGGAGCCUUGCUGCACAACACAGUUUGAUUUCAGGCAGAAAUAUCUGCUUUCAUUUCUUGGACAGCUUUGAUGUGGCAGCAAUGUCCUUAGUUGACUCUUAAGGUGAAGAUACACGGGGCAACUUUUUGGGCAAUGUUGCUGCCUACGGGCAACCUGGUGAGACACAUGGCAACUAAUUAGGGCAACGGACAGUUGGCAGCAACCAAUCAGAGAGGAGCAAAUCUAUUGCCAACCCAAUAAAUACUUUAUUAUAAACACUUGUUAGGCAGACGAGUAAGUUUGGCAAAAGGCGGAUUCGAAUCCACAUCAAAAGAUACCUUCCUGUGCCAUACACCCUACAGCCUACACCACUACAGAUGUUAAAAGACAGCAUCUUUUUAGUAUUUAACUGAAAACAUUCGAUGGCUAAAUUACAGCCUACGCACAUUCAAUUUUACACCUGUUGGUAUUUUAAGCAUUAAAUGAGGUAAAUUCCCUGUUUUGGGUUGACAACCAGCGUUAAAUGAAGUUUAUCCUUAUCCUUAUCCGUUAAAAGAUAUAAGUUCACGCUCCUUUUCUUCGCUCCACUGCCACUGAGAGGCCGCCAUUUUGUUUGAAUUUUUUCUGAAAUCUCCAAGCCGGUCACGUAAUCGGCUGCUAGCAUUCUGAUUGGAGGAUCUCAAAAAAUUGCCAACAACCGAUCUGAAGUAUCCAGAUAGAAAUUUGUUGCUCAUUCUCAAUGGGAAAGUGCCCAAGCAACAUUGCUCAAAAAGUUGCCCUUUAAAGUCUUGAGAAAAACAGAAUGCUUAUUUACUUAAAAUGGGAAUGGGAAUCUGUUUUAUUUCAUCAAAUGAUGCAUCUGUUUCAGGACAUAGAUGUUCCCUCAAGUCUGACCUUCAGCCCCCAUCACCAUGAUGACUUAAUUUCCAAUGACUGCAAUGUCUAAUGCACUCUCACGGGCAUCACACCUUCAAAUAAAGGUGCCAAACCCUUUUUGGUAUUUCCUUUGGCUGGAACUUCACAAACUGAGAGUUUGCCUUGUGCAUCCAGCUGAAUCCCUAUUGUUUAUUUUGAAGGAGAGUUGCUGUAGUUGUACACAGAUGAAAUAUCAUCCAGGCUGUGCCUCUAAUGACACAGCACUUCAGAGAGCUGUUAUACAGUGACCUCACUAUCACUGUGUAAGUGAGAUGGAAUAUUAAUGAUGGUGCUGUACCACCUUUGUUUUCAACUCUUCUCCCACUGUAGAGUGCUUGCGCAGGCCGCUGGCUAUGUUUGCGUUUUAUUUGUGACGUCUGUUGAAGAGGUAACGUGCAGAGGGUCUGUUGUGUAAACAUUGCAUUGAACAUGACGUGCACAGAGCCCAGCAUUGAUGUCAAGAAGAAACUGGGAAUCAAAUUCCUGUCUCAAAAUGCCAACGCUGAUCGUAAACAUGCAAAAACGCAAGCAAAACACAUGCAACUAUUAGCAUUUUUAAGUACAAACUUUUAAGUUCGAUACAAAGAAUGAAUUCUCCUACUCUUUAUGUAAAACCCACGAUUUGCACAUUGUUAUUACUACCAUGUCCAAAAAUGUGGUGGUAAUGACAUUUUCAAACUGGUCCAGCUUAUUGUAAUCGCUGAGGAAUAGCUACAGCUGUACCUUUUUGUCCCAAAGUCCCUUGUACACGAUUUUGUGCAAAAUAAUUGUGUUGUGGUGGUAGGGAAUACGUAUUCUGAAAAAUUUUGAAGCAAAAGUUAUAAAUUUGCCAUGCAUUCCUUUUAUUCUGCCAACUUUCUCAGUAUUUUUCAAGGCAUUUCAUGGUGACCAGGGGCAUCAUUUAUAAAAUGUUGCAUAGAAACCAUCCUACAUUUGAUUUUUCAUUAACAUAUAAAAUAGCAUCAGUCAACGUCCAAAUCCUUAACUUGAGAAUGGCGAGUGGCAAGAAUUGCUAAGAUUUCCAAACACCUGCAGUACUCCGACUCUCUGCCAUAAGGAAAAGUGCGUAUGUCUGCUCAGACCCUGACGUGGCGGCGCUGUCAAAGACUGUUUUUAUAAAUAUGAAUGUGUCCACCUAGAAAUACCCUAAAAACCACCCAGAAACCCCUAGUAACCAUAUAGAAACAUCUUGUUAAUCACCACGCUUGUGAAUUUUUCACAGAGAAACACCAGAAAAUAUAAAAAUCUUUUUAAAAAAAUCACUCCAUCACUCAUUGCCCAUUUUAGCCUGUACAUUUGUGCAGAUAUUUACUAUUAUAAAAGAUGCACUCAUAUUUUCUUCCCAUAAAAUGGCAUAAAAAUCUUAAGAAAUCCUGCACUUUUUCCCAGUGCACUUAUGCAGUUAUUUAUAAUUCCUAUAGGCUCACUCCAUCCCUGUCCUCCCUUAUGCAGAUCGGAUCAGCACAUCACUGUCCACCAAUCACAGGAGAUCUUGUGUUGCACUGAGCUCAUGCACUGACUCACCAAUCACAUGAUUUAAAAGGAACUCCUGAUCUGUUUUUACCCCUCCCUUUCCUGCUUUUCCUUUGCUCUUUCCAUUUCCAAUAACACGGAGCCUGUUCUUCCGGGAAAGAGAGAGGGAGCAGAGAUCUGAGGUCUGAGUGUGUGUGUGUGUGUACGUGCUCGCAAGAACAUCAAUUCCCUCUUUUUCCUCCAUGAGGUCAGACUACAUUUUGUGUUGCUGAUCUCAACGCUGGAAAAGUUGGUGGCAUGCGCCAAAGAGUGAGGGUGUGCAUGUGUGUAUAGACCACUGAAGUGACUUCAUUGUCUGCUUCAUUGGACUGCUGCUAUUACACGUCAUUAUUGUUUUCCAUGUAUGGUCAUUUGUUGUGCAGAUCUUUGUGAAAAGAUUACAAAUCAGCCCAAAUGGAGGGGCUUUCCAGCACUAAACAGAAAGGCGCUUGAGACAAAGCAAAAACAGUGUGACAUCAGAGUUCUGAGGAGCUGGUAGAAGCUGCUGUCAUGUGAUGCUGAGUCAAGAUGAGCUCAUGAAAACAAAGCACCUGACAUGCAUGUUUCUCUCCAGAUGUUUGAACUUUAUAACCACAUGGUGGACUUGCUGAUCUGUUCAUUACAUUUAUGCUGAUGUAAUUUACAGGAAAGGACUCUUAAAUGCAAAUACUAAGGGUUCGUAGUGUUUGCUAAAGCCCUGUUCACAAUGACUGUAAUUAAAUAAUUUGAUGUUGCUCUGUGCUGAUAGUGCUAGUAGUCUUUCCUACUGAAGACUGUGCUGUAUCUGCAUUUCUUUUGUUAAUUGAUGCAUCACAUCAUUGUUAAUUUGCAUAAAUAUUGUAAAUAUUUGUUCUCGAUUGUUUUGAUUUAUGAUCUUUAUGAUUAUGAUUUAAUUAAAGCUGCAGUCUGUAAGUUUUGCCUCUUUGUCGCCAUCUCUGUUCGAAACCUGCAAUUGCAGUUAUUUCUGGAAUUAUCAUCUUUACGUGGGUUGUGCCUCGGCACGACUCCUCAGCGCGGAUGAAUCUCACAUUUUGUUGAAUGUGUGGCUGUCAGUAACCGCACCGGUGGAUACUGUACAUCUACUUCGGAAUCACAGAUUGUAGUCUUGAAGUAUGACCAAAAUAAGAUUUUUCACUGGAAAAUGUCAUCUGAACCUGCCACAUUUGUUCUUACCAACUGAAAAAAAAAGCAUCGCGUCAUACCAUACCAUACAAUCCGCCAUCUAAAUGAUAAGUUUAAUUAUUCCAGCUGCUGUGAGAAAAGGCUAUAAAUGAUCCACCUCACAUGUGAUAUAGCCUAUUAGCUGGGACUCAUUCUUCAUGUAAACAGACGUGACGUAAUGACGCAAAGAUGAACAGCGGCAUGCUCGAAUUUCCCGUGGAAACCCACCAGUACUGAUUUUAUUAUAAAACAAGCUUACCGUUGUGAAUCGGGCUAAGGUAAGGAUAGUUAGUAAGGUAAUGAUAGUUUUGAAUACUGGCUGGUUAUGUACUUGCUCAAAAAUUGAUUUUGGAUAAUUUUUAACCAAAAAAAGUUACGGACUGCAGCUUUAAGGUAGUAAAUAAAAUAAAAUAAACAGACAAAGAGACUACAUAAUAAAGAAUGUGCAAAAAUAUGCUGAACCAACAAUGAAUUGCCAUCUUAAAUCAAGCAGGGUCACAGAAUUAAAUUAUUAAAUAUAUUAAUUGCAUAUAACACUUAAUGGACAAAUAAUCAUUGCAAGUCAAGGCGCAUUAAAGCACAUUAUAUAUGUAACGGAGGCCAGCUAGUAGUCGCUGUGUGAGUAAACCUCACUUCUCUGAUCUCAAAAGAUGCUCUAGCGAAUGACGCUCUCUAAAGGUUGCAGCCUUUAGCUCCUUGUUAGAGCAUCAGACUCCCACGCCGGAGACCCAGGUUUGAGGCCUGCGCAGGGGUGCGUUUCCCGAACAACGAUGUAACUCGCUGCUUCACUACCAUAGUACGAUGCAUCGUUGAACAAAUCAACUAGCUAGUCACGACUGUUUCCCGAAACCGUAUUGUCGCAAAUCUGUCGUUCAACCAUGUUGGUGAAUGACGUCACGCAGGUGGUGAGAAAUAUCUUUUUUAAAUGAAUCCAUAUGAGAUCGAAUUAAUGCUAGAUUUUUUGCUAUAAAUUACGGACAUGGCAUUAGAGGACUAAUUCUCAUUUUCCUCAGUUAUUUUGCUUUAUUUCCAGAUUAAAUAAAAUGCUUGUUCUUACGUAAUAGAGCACGUACGCACAUGCGCACUCUUCAAAAACGGUGCUUUAAAUCUCUUGACAAACUUCAAUUUGUAUAUAUUCGAAAUAAAGGAUAUACAUUGUACUUAAUGUCAGCUUGCUUAUUAUGCUCAAGAUAAGAAUUUAUUAAGUCCACAUGUCAUAAAAACAAGAAACUAUGCUUCUAACCACAGCUCGAGAGCUGUCGUUCCAACCACACAAGUUUGCGAUGCAGUUUGCGAAUGUUCGGUUGAACGAUGGUUUCGGGAAACACCAAAUCGUUGAACUAUGUAAGUAACGAUGGAACUUGCGAUGUUAGUUGGCUGACGAUGCUUUUGGGAAACGCACCCCAGAGCGGGGCGAGUAGGACCUGGGUGAGGGGUUACAUAUAAUCCAACCUGAUAUUGCGAGAAAAGGUAGCUAUUAAACAUAACCGCCACUGGGGUGUUAGCAGAUUGUACAAAAAUGUAUGAAUGAGAUUGGUCAAAGUCACAUUAAGGCCCGUUCACACCGAGAACAAUAACUAUAAAGAUAACCAUAACGAUAACUCUAUUAGCUUCCACACCAGCGGACGAUAUCGUUCUGUUUAUUAUUCUAAGCUCGCGCUGCAGUUUUGUCGUCUGCCACUUUAAAUGCUCAAGCUUGAAAAAUAUCAUUCAGAAAGUGAUUCCAACGAUACAUUUUCUCUGUGCCAUUAUCGCUAUAGUUGUGGUGUGGACUCUGCUAAUCUUUUAUAUUUAGAAUAUAUUUAUUGUUAUAGUUAUCGUCCUUGGUGUGAACGGGUCUUUAGCCACCAAUUUGCCCAAACGUAAAAUAGUCACAAACUGCAGUGAGAUUGUGUUGGUAUAAUCUCCAGAAUAUGCAUUGCAUUUGGGGAAGACAUAUUGGGUAUUAUUAUAGUCAUUAUAAUAGGUUAUUAAAAUAUGUACAUGUUUUAUUAUUGGGUUGAUGCAUCACAAUGCACAAUGCGUUUUUAAAUCUUUUAUCCAUACCAUACACCCUGGUGACCACCUACAACUUUGGCAUUGUAGCAGAGGUUUUGCAUGGGCUGAUUAUUUUUUGCAGUUCCAUUUGGUGCCACUAGUGGUGUACAAAUCACACACUGCACCUUUAAGCACUCAUGCUUUAGUUUUAUUAUGUUGCAGAAAUUAAAGAAGAACUACUGCAAGCUGGUGAUGAAAUAUCCUCUUUCUUUGAAACAUGCUACUGCUAGAGGAGAGUGUGAUUUCCUUUCCCAUGAUGGACACGUGGAACCAUAGACACACACACACUCACUGCUUCCUGUAUUGGAAAGUUAGCCGGUGUCACAAGAGAGAUGGUUCUGGUCACGGUGACAUUGCAAAUCAAAGUCACAGUGAACACCAUGUGUGCAGUGUCACUCUGCCCAGAGCGUCUGUGUGUGUGUGACAGUCACAAAUCACAUGCUCAUGCUGCAGUCCUGCGCCUGAAUAAUUUACUUUGUAGGGUCGAACUGAGCACCUGUUGCUUAAAAACAUUUGAAUACGUCCAGCCUCAGGAACACCCUUUCCUGUAUGUACUUACAGAUCCUAGUGUGAUGUACAAAACACAUCAAGCAGAACCAGCGCCUGCAAUGUUCUGCACACCAGGACUGACUGUAAAUCACCUGCUUUUGUGAUUCAUUUUUAAAGACAGGUUUAAAUCUGAAAGUCACACAUUACAGCAGCACAUUCAAAUCAGUGAUCCCAUAUAGUCAGAAUGAUUUAUGCACAUUUUGAUUCAGACUUUCGCUUAAGAUUUAGAAGAACGAGAUUUGUAAUUAAUUGUAUUCUUAUCGUAAUUUCGGUCAUACCGAGCAACCAUAGAUCACAGGCUGAUUCAAAAAGGUAUUCACAAAAAUCUUCUGGAAAAAAUAUCAUUAUCACCUGGCCAUUUUUGGCAUACUACAUGACCAGACAAAAUUUUAGAUAAUGAAAUUAACCUUAUGAUCUAUAAAGGCUUCUGACUGAAUGCUUGAAAUUAAUUUUGUAGAAUAAUAUUAAUUGCACUUAUGUAUGAAAAUUGCUUGACAAAACUUGAAUUUAUUUAUUUAUUUAUUUUCCAAGCAUUUAUUUAUAUAUAUGGGUCAUUGACGAAUAAGGUUUUUAAAAAUGUUUAAAAAAAAACCUAAUGGGGAUGUAAUUAAUUUUGAAGUUUUAUUAAGUGUUAACAAUGAGAUUAUGUGGUUUUUAUAAUCAAUUAACACUGCUUUUAUCAUUUUUUACAAGAUGAACAAAAUUUGUCACCAAAAAGUCAUUCAGUUUUACCAAAAUUUCGAUUUUACCAAAUGACACUUUUGGUUAUACCGAAUGACAGUAUUUUCAAACAAUGCUUACAGGCUGAUAUCUAGCUAGCUAGCAAUCAAACAUUUUAUAUUUAGUACAAGUUUUUAAAAUAUUACAACAUUUUCCCUGUUUUAUAGCGGUUGUACCGAAUGACCUGAUGUUUCGAGACAUGCGUAUGAUCAAGUGAAAACAUUAAUUUUUCAAAUAGUUAAAAGAGAGUUAGUUACUUUGCUUCAUGACCAUGUGGUCCUUUGCAGGUGUCUGAAUGAUGUCACAUCCUGUCACAUGAUAUUGACCGCAUGACUUGAUCCAAAAUGGUCCCUUUAUAUUGGUUACUCCGAAUGACAUCAAUAAAAUAAAUUUUUCCAGACAUUCUUUCUCAUAACAAAGCAAUGACUUCUACACAUAAUUUUAAUUCCAUUUUGCACUAUGUUGAUAUAUGAUGUUAUAAAAUCAUGCCCGAAUUAAAAAUAUAUACAUUUAUUGCAUUUUAAGAUAUUUUAAUCACAAAUGAAAUGGCUGUAUUGGACUUUGGACGGUUAAACCGAAUGACCUUUUGACACUUCAGAAUCUUUAAAAUACUUUAUGUGUAGCAAAAUAUAAUUAAAAUCUUUUUGAUUCAAUAAAAGAGAUCUAGCUGUACUACCUACAUACUUUGGAUGUCAUAUCUUUGUUUUUUAUUAUUAUUAAGGCCUUUGGACAGAAAAAUGACCCAUCACGUCAUUGACCCAUAUAAUUAUUUAGAAGAAGUAGAGUAAAUAUUAAAGGAAAAUAAGCCUAUAUAAACGUUCAGCAUAUGGGAACUCUUUCAAUAAUUUAAUAAUUCAGUAAGUUAGUGUGUCUACAUGUUUGACUGGUAGUUUAUUUUCAACAAAUUGUGGUUUGGAAUGCAGUAAUUCUAAUCUUGCAUACUAUGUAUAGUAUGCAAAUUGUAACACAUAAACUCUGUUCAUAUUUUUAAUCUUAAAUGUGCUGUCCAUUAAUUAAAAAAGCAAAUUCCUUGAAAAAUUAUAUUCAUCAACUGGAACAAUUGUUUAAUUUAAAGUAAUAUUAGGUCAUAUUUUCUUGUCCUAUUUUUGAAAAGGACUUCCCAGAACAAUUAUUGUGUUAUUCUUCCACAACAUCAGCCUUUUUUCAUAUGUGCCAACUUUUGGUAACACUUUAUUUUAGGGUCUUUAACUAGUUGCUUAUUAGCAUUGGCUAUUUAUUAGUACUUAUUAAGGACAUAUUAAUGCCUUAUUCUGCAUGACCUUAUUCUACAUUCUUAAUUGUACCCAAUACCUAAACUUACCAACUACCUUAUUAACUAUUAAUAAGCAGUAAAUUAGGAGUUUAUUGAGGAAAAAGUGUUACCCAACUUUUUCCAGUGGGUGUUUUUUGUUUUUUACUACCCAUUUUAGCACAAAGUCCACAUCAGGAUUAUGGGAUAAGAUUCUAAAUAAUGGAAAAAUAAGCAUUUCAUUACAAAGACACUCCUUUGCCACCUUAAAAACACACUCACACACACAUAUCCACACCUAUGAUAUCUAUUCUGUAGCUUUACACCUGUGUACAGGUUUACUCGGAAAAGGAGUCUUAUCUAAUCUGUGGUUCUUGCCAUAAAGAUUUCCACCUUUUUCCAUUUCCCAAGUGCUGGUUUUCUCUGUUUCUGGGUACAGAGACUCACUGGAAACAAGGGUUUAAUGGUGCAAGCAGUUAAACCCCAUAGACAAACAGGUGUGGCUGCAACUGCACUGAGAAUUGGGCCUCAGAAAUUCAUCCUGAGGUUUUUCUCACCUCCCUCCGCCCUCUUUAUACAUACUCGUUGACCAUUUGCAUAUAGUGCAGAGUGUGCAAAAAAUUAAGCUUGAUUGUGUACGUGGCCUCAGUGACCUUUGACCUUUUAGAACCCAGAUUGCAUGCGUGUCAUCCUGUCCCGCCUGGCCACUCCUUGCAUGCCGGUCUUUUCAGUAAUGGAGCUGUUAUGAGGUGAUAUCCAGUCCUUAGAUCUGAUUAUUGAAAUAAAUGUGGGAGGGCAUGUUUAAUCAAAGAUCAAGCAGUUUAUUUAAGGACAACAAUGACAGCAGUACAACAUAAUCUGUACAGUUUGCACAACAUGUACAGUUUUGAUGCCAGUCCUUUUCAAGUAUGAACAUUUCCUUUAAUCCGACACGGGUGAGCGCAGUGCUUGGAGAGUGCUCCAGGCCAAUGGAAGCAUGUGCUUCCUUACGCAAUGCUGGCUUGUUUACAAACGUCCAUGUGCUGGAGUUCGUUAGGGCAUCGAUCAAGUUUAGAUAUACACUUGUCCUGCAGUGUAUACAUCUGUGUGAGAGAGUGCUUUAUGGAUGCAUGUGUGUUUAUCUGUGUGAAUGAACGCGGUCUCCUGAUAGGGACAAUUUCUAGGAAUCAGUCUAGGAAUACUGUGAACCUUUUCACAGUGCACAGUCUUUUACCUGGAAAAGGUUUCUGUGGGAAAGGCAUGUCCAAACAUGAAACUCUAUUCGCAGGCACUCUGUACUUGAGGCCAGGCAAUUAAUCAGGAAUUGUUAUAUGCAGAUCUGAGACCAGUUUUGGCACAUUGCUCAUACAAAUUUAUAUAAAAGUAAAGUUUGUUUGAGGAGACAAACAUUGUUUCUGCAAAAACUGUUUCUGCAGCUGUCUGGCUGGUUAUCUAGUCCAGGAGAAUUAAUCUCUCCUGCAGGUUACUCUAAUAAUAGUCCCUGCUGUAAAAACUCCCAAAAAGAAAGGUCACCAACUGGCUGCACUAUUCACUUUUAGCUGCAAUGUUUACAUUGUCAUGACUAUUGUUUUAUAAUGAAACAGUGUUCCUAGUUCAGGUGGCAGAAUAUGGUGUUAACAACAUCAGGGCCAUGAGUAUUUUAUUCCUUGCUUGUGUUUUAUAUCGCUUUGUAUAAAAGAGGGAAUACAUGAUAUCACUUCUACCUACCAAGCAACACUACUGCUUAUCUUUUAGGUUAAUUCUCCAUUCUAGAUCUUGCAUUGCAGGCACUUCCAUCCAGAGCAACUUGCAGUGCAUUCAAGAUACACUUUUAUACAUUCCCAGGGAUUUGUACCCAUAACCUUGGUGUUGCUAUUAUUGCUAGCACCAUGCUCUAAUGUUUGAGCUACAAAAAUGCUAAGUGUGAAACGUCAACAUGUGACUCAACCUCAAAUUGUGCCAGUUAUUGAGGAGGAACUUAAGCCAUUUCGAGGGAACAGAAUGUCAUGAAGACUUGAUAGUGACCUCUUUGGACUUGGAGCAAUAAGCAAUGAGCAACACAUUAAACACCAACCGGAUAGCAAUGUCCCAAUAACAUUCUACCACAGGCCCUGUUUACAACUGGUAAUAAGAUGUGUUUUGGUCGAUUGGAUCACAUGUAGACGAGGGAGACACAUACCUGUUUACACCUGGUGCUUUAAUCCAUCUCUUUUGUCCACUUUCAACCACUUCUGUCCUGAUUUCUUCAAGGGGAACCCUAUGGGCUUGUAAAUGUAUGUUUUUUUUUUCAGAUCUUUCAAUCUAAUGGAAAAAAAAGCUCACGCAAUUUACAUACGAACACGCUCGGAGACAAUGGAAAAACACACGGAGAGCAGCAGCACUGUUUCUGAUCUGACAGCCGCAAGACCAUGCCGAACGCAGUGAGUGUGUGUUAGAAAUCAGGAAUAGUGAGAGAACAUUGUGCUUGGUACAUUUUUCGUCUUCAAACCAAACUUGGGUCUCCAGCCAACGAAGUUUAAAUCCCCUCUGGCUAGAGCACUUCUCAUAAUGUUUACACAUUAGGUCAAUAGGCGGAGUGUAAGUGGUCUUUUGUGGCUUUUCGAACACGAGCGUCUACACUACGAAAGCAAUCCGUUCAAAUGCGUUUUCGAUGACCUGUGGAAGUGGUCGGAAAUUGGUUUAAAGUGGACAAGCUCAAAAUGUUUAAAUCCAGUUUACACCUGUAUUUAGCCUUGUCCAGUUGUGAUCCAAUUGACCAAAAACGCAUCUUAAAGGGGUGGUAUAAAGCCAUUUUUACAAGAUGUAAAAUAAGUCUCUGAUGUCCCCAGAGUGUGUAUGUGAAGUUUUAGCUCAAAAUACCCUACAGAUCAUUUUUUAUAGCAUGUUAAAUGUUUUGAGGGUGAGCAAAAACGCUCAGUUUUUGUGUGUGUCCCUUUAAAUGCAAAUGAGCUGCUGCUCCUAAGAAGAGGACGGAGUUUCAAGAGCUUGUGUUAACACAUAGUGUUAGCAGCUCCGAUUACCUCACGCAGACUCACUGAAAAUGUCAGAAACUGUUCAGCCUUUUAUGUUCAAACCGAAGUCGGACAAUGAUGGAGAGACUCAAGAAGAAGUGACAACAUGUAGAAAGAAACAGGACGUUUCUGAAUGGUUAGUGGAUAAAUUUAUGUAGCUGAUGUGGGAUAUCUUUUUAAAGAAGAAAUACACAAACUGGCUAACUUUUAUUUUAUUUUAUAGUGUGGCUAAUUGAGGGCUAGUGAUCAGUUUACUUUAAUGGUUCAUUUAGGUCCAUAACAUUGUGUUUAAUACAGAGGUCUGGCUGCAGUCUGAUUGCUUUUGUCUAGUACCUGUAAAUGAAGCCAGUCAAGCAUUGGCCCAAUUACAUGCAUUUAGCAUAGACACACACACACACAACCUCACCUUCAUUAUCUUGCACUCAAACUGCAUCUGCUUUGGCCAGUUUCAGACAUGCCUUGCAGUCCUGGGCUUUUUGAGAUAAGAUGAAGGCCUCAGAUGCUCUUUUUUUCCCCCUUGAAAAUCUACUCUCUCCAUUCAUUCAACACUCGACCGGAAAUAACCCGAAACUCAGACGUAACCCUGCAAGAUAUAUGACCAUGCAUGCGCUUCAGUUUUGCACUCAUCUCAGAGGGGAUUUCAGGAUUUUUAUCCCUGCAGGAAGCACGCUGUCCUUUCUUCAGAUGUCCUCUUCUGCUCUCCUUACACACUUGGGAAGAAUAUGAGAGGGUUCUUCACAGUGUGUGCUACUAAUUGGUAGGUACACCCAGUACAGACGGAGCAGGAUGGGAGAAACUGUUUUCCAGGGAGAUCGCUCCCUUGAGGAACAUUUGAAGGAAUUCCUCAUCCUUGCGUAUCUGUCACACUUCCCAGAUGACUACCUUUGCUCAUUCCUCCUCGCAGGAAUCAACACCUCUACAAAGGCCCAGUUGUCCGGGCAGGGACCUCGAGGGAGCUUCAAAGCAUUUCUGGAGUGGUUGCUGAUAUCAUGUGGAUUGCCGUUCACCGUCAGACCCGUUGCACCAGCCCCACUUCCAACCCGGUGCCCAGCCAGAAACCGGAGAGCAGCAGCAUGUGCCCUCCGCAGAGAGCCCGCCUCUACCACAAUGCAUGAGCCAGAGCUGUUAGGAACGACUGAGCAAGACAUCGCCCCAGAGCAUGAGCCUCGUGUGUCUGACAAGAUGUGUGAGCCGGCUGCAUCACAACCCAUGGGAUUCCGUGAAGAGUCUGAGGGUGCAGAAUGGAGAUCCGCCCACACUCCCGCCACUGAGAGUGAGUUUCUGGCCACCAACAUAAACAAUUAUUUUGUUUUUGGAGAGGAAGAUCCCCUACCCACUUUAAUCCCACCAGAUCCUGUCUGCUCUAUUUUGAACUGACUGGUCCCGCCCAGCAUCCCUCUCCCACCUCCUCUCCAUAUGUCUGCCCAGGAUUUGGUGUGUUCUGUCAUUCCCUCUUUUUCUCCUCAGCCUCCACUCCAGUCCUCAGCCACUCCUGCCACCCUGUUUUCACUGUCUCCCAUCCGCCUCCAGAGGCAACACCUUGUGUGUGCUGUGAGCCAGUUUCUCCUGGGCCUGGGGAUCCCUUGGCUCCACCUCUGGCCUCAGAUCCCGUUGUUCCACCUCGGCCCUUCACCCUGACUCCUCCGCCUUCGCUCCUUCCCCUCUCGACUCCAGCAGUGACCUCCAUCGGUGCCACCUGGGUCGAGCAUUACCUCAACAAUGCCUUGCGGGCUGUCAACUGCUCUCCAGCCCUCCACCCCAUGGCUCUGUUUGGCUCCGCCCUCCUGCAGGAUCCGCCUCAGCCCUCGGUCGCACCAGCUCCACCUUAGACUUCCGGUGCCCUGAUUCCAUUUCGGGGGGUCAUCGCUGAGGCUCUAUCGCAGUGUCACUCCGCUCUUCGGCUAUGCUACCAUGGCCUCUCUCUCCAGCAACCCCAUCAUUAGACAUCAUCCUGGCUGUGUCCAGGAUCAACAUCUGGCCGUUCCGGCUGAGUGUGUUGAAUUAAAGACUUUUGGAACCUUCAUCCUCAUCUUUGUGCAUUUGUAUACAGCUAAUGUGACAAAUACUUUAAAAAAAAAAAUUUUUCUUAAAGAGAAAAAAAAAAUAUGUUGAGUAAGGCCAGAAUCUGACUCAGGACUCAGGAUUCAGAAUUCAACAUAAUUUGCUGUGCCUUCAGAAGACUGUAGUUAUUGAAUUAGAUCUAAGCGAUCAACCAAGAGUUCAUUUUUAGAGUUGAUUAGAUUGUGAAGAACACAAAAUUGUGUUGUGUAACAUCAAUGCAGUCUCACUGGAGGAGUCCCACAGUACUCUCUGUGUGUGGUUCAAGUAUACCCUACGUUAUGGGGACAAAAUGUCCCCACAAAGAUGGCAAUAUCCGAAAUCCUUGUCCUCGUGGGGACAUUUUUUUGGUCCCCAUGCUUAAAAAUCAUACUAAAUCAUGUUUUUAAAAAAUAAAAAAAAAAUCUACAUUUUUAAGUAGAAAAAGACAGUCAAAACUUGCCUUUGAAGUAAAGAGUGGGCUAAGGACCCUUGUGACACAACUGUUACUCACCCUCAAACAAACACAAUGUGAGCUGCGUGUAUAGUUCUGUUGAAUUAAGUCUCAUUGAGGGAUAAAGUGACCCUGUCUCAUGCUCUCAUGAUAAUGCUCUCAUUCGUUUGUACAUAAAUGUCACAUUGAGUGUCACACUGGAGCUUUGUGACCUCUUGAGAUAAACACGCACACUAGAGAGACAGUGCAUUCUUCAUCUGAAGAGCUGCUUCAGGAUGAUCUGUGAGAGAGAGAUCUCACAGUCCAGUUGGACUUUUUACAAACAGUAGAUGAGAUCUUGUGGGGAACUAAAACAGUGUACAGUACAGUACAGUACAAUGUUCGUUAAAAUAAAUCUCUUAUCAUCUCUUUCAUGUUGUUUUCAGUCCAUUUUUAUCAUUGAAAAAUGUUAGAUAGAUGAUAGACCCAGGCAACAACUAAAAAGCAAUGUUUUAGCAAUCAGCUUAAGCAUCCUAGUAACCACAUGCUAAAAAAACCACAAAAAAAACAGAACAUCUUAGAUGUGUAACAAUGCCCAAUGCCAACUGGAACACCCUUGAGCACACAUAAAUGCUCUGGCAAAGAAUCAAAACACCAUAGCAACUUUUAAAUGGACAAACAUAGUUGUUUCUAAUUUUUUUAAACUUUUUUUAGCCAUAACCUAAAUUAUUUACUUUAUUUGGUAAAUCAAAGUUCAUUCAAUACAUAAUUUCUAUCAAAAUAAUUGUUCCAUCACAAGACACUGGAUUAAAAUAAAAGGUUUAAAAAAAGCUCUAUAAUUAUGACUGUUUCCUUGGAAACCGUGGGUGUUAAUCUUGGUUGUCAUGUGACUUUCUGUUGUAUGUGUGGUUUCUGUGGUUACUGGUGGUCAGACUGCAAUGGUCCGUCCAGGGGAAAGUGCUGACUCAGAGUUCCCAGAGACCCACAGUUUACAGUCCCGCUCACCCCAGAGUAAACGUGAAUCCACUGGUGAAACCAUGACCCAACCCUGCAGUCUGUGCCAAGAGGGAACCCCAGAGCAGUAAAACAAACCCAGUCAGGCUGAGCCAACCGCCCCCUCCUUCAGUCAACCAUUCCCAAACAAUACAGUUGCCAGGGCCCUCUCCCAUAGCAACCAGCAAACCGUUGUGUCUGGCUAUCUGAUAACAAACAGGGCUUGACGUAGAAGUAUAAGAUUACAUAAAGUGAGUAACGACUUCCAAAAUCCAAUUUAUGAAGUAAAAACAGGAUUUUUGUUUUCCUUCUUUCAUUUCACUCUGUUUCUCAGGAGUAUUUUCCAUGGAGAAAGACACAGCUGGAGUCCUGCCCCGCUGACCUACGGGCCACUGCACUAAUUCCUUGGAAUGAAUUUAUCACAUGAACUUCCUUCAACACAAGAAUGUUCCAGUGAAGUUUGGUGUGGUUGAAAUGUUUGAGAAAGAUUACAUAAAUAAGUGUGUAAGGAAUAAUUCACCCUUUGCUGGUAGUUUGAUUAACAGGCGAUCUGACCAAUAAUGGCGCUAAAUCCGCCAAUUUGUCUGACAAACAAACCAGAUAGGAGAGUUGGUAAAUUAACGCUGAUGGACUUAAAAACUCUCCCAGUCACACCGUGUUGCAUGCUGGGGCAGCGCCGCCAUCUUAGGAGGAUCGCCCUCUACUACUGAUACUGAAAUUAAUACCAAUACCUGCACCUUUUGUUUUGUUUUUGCCUUUAAAUGAAUUAUUCACAUUCUCCAUGGCAUCGUUUGCAGGGAAGAGAAGCUAUUUUAUUGCACUGCAUGAUAAUUUUAUGUUUAUAUCAAUAUAUCUGGUUACCAUGAAAACAGUGUCACUCGUUGGGUGCUCGCUGCUGCUUCUUCAGCCGUCACAUGCUAGAAAUGUCCAAAUAAAAAUAUGUGUUCGACAAGCUGAAAGAAUUCGAAUUCCAAUUCUUUGUUUGAAAUGUUUAAAUGCAACUUAAGUUUGAUUGUAAUCAUUAUAAAUACUCACUUUCCCAUGGCCACAGAUGGGAAUCAGAGAUUGUUGGUCACAUUCAGCAGACAAACAUCGACACACUGGUUUUUAUAUAUUUAUUUCAACUCAAGACAACCAAAAUCAAAUCCCUAGAAGCUUGUGAACAGUUUUGCAGUGACUGUGUGCAAGUUCUGCUAAUUUGCAAGCCGACAAACUGUAACAGUCAUGUUCGCAAAGGUAAUUUUAAACAACAUACCUUCUAAUGUUAAUUCACGUUUAUUACUAGUAGGAAGAGAUGAUCGGUUCAUGUGCUGCUUGAACUGAGGUGCUACAGUGAUCUGUCAUAGCACAUUAAAGAGCCACAAUUUCUUAAAAAAACAUGACAACAUUUGAAAGCUGAGACUGCUCUGUCUUGUCUGUCGGCGCGUUGUCAGUGUCUUCUUUGCUUUGCGAUGUAUUUUUCACUCUGUGAGAGCACUAUGCACUCUGCAGUGUCUUUUUUAUAAACAUGAAUUCAACAUACAACAAAUAAUAAUACAUACAAAAUGUAAAAAUAUACAAUCUCCCUGACUUUACUGCGUUCUUUUAAUUAAGCCAAGAGGUUGUGCCAUGAAAUAUCGAUCAUCUACUGGUCACAUGUCUUUACGUGAUGCGAAUUUGCUGCUCAGAGUUCACCAAACCUGAACUUUGGAACGCAGUGAAAUGUGAAACUUUUCUCAUGAGCUUGCGUUUACGGUGUGACGUAUUCGCAUGUGUAUGAAUGGAAGUCAAUGGAAUUGCGUGUGUGAAUUUCCUAAGCCUGUGUGUCUCUCAACAGCGUUUCUACUAAUAACGAAACUGUAAGUUUGUCUGCUUCAAGAACAGCGCUGUUAUUGCCUCGCUAGUAAGAAAUGUCAUGUAGCUUUUAAGUUGCUAAACUAUUUUAACUGAUAAAAUCGUCCGAGCAGUGCUGACAACAGGUUUCUGUGCGAGUGUGAGUCCGUACUGUAUGACCCUGUCCCACAUGGCACACUUCAUGUACACUUUCGUUUUUGUGGACUUACAACGUUAAGUCCAUGAGACCGUAGGAGGUCCCAUUUGUCAUUUUAGGUUGCAGAAGUGUGCUCGCGAGUACCCCCUUUGUGGUCAAUAUGCUCCCUCGAUGUGCACUUUUGUCGAGCAUGCACUGAAGCGAGCUCCGCAGCAGACUUCUUCCCGACAACCAAAGUGGCGUUACGUCACAAAAGUGCGGACUCGUAGGAAGACCACUUUGGGACAGGGCCUAUGUGUGUGCGUUUAGAGGGAGAGGGAAAAAGCUUUCGUACAUAAUAAAAUGUAAUUUUAUGGCCAAAACACACACACACACACACAAACACAAAAGGAAAUAAUUUGUCGUUUUUAUCCUGUUGCUUACUAUAUUUAUUUGCUUGGUCAGUGUAGUGUUGGGUUUUGGUUCUUUUGCUGUUGUAGGCUGUAAGGACCUUUUGAAAUGACUGACAUCAUUUGGCGAAGUGAUGUGGACAUGUAAUGCGAUCAAGACCAUUAUUUCUGUGAUUGCAAACCAGAAUUUUCAGCAGCCAUUACUUCAGUCUUCAGUGUCACAUGAUCAAUUUAACGAAUGUCUGCUUUUUUUUUAAAUAAUAAUAAUAAAGUAUUAAUAAAAUCUUACUGAUCUUACCCAUACAGAAGAUUCAAAGAUUAGUAAGAAUGGCAAGAAUUAGCGACAUCAAGUUGCAAAUCUUGGAAUUGAUAUAGCAGAGUUGGGAAUGGCAUUAACUUUGAACAGCUGAGUUAUUCACAAGCUUACGCAACUUCCCCUGCUAAAACAGUUCCAUAGAUUAGAUUACGCCAGAAAACAAACAUCACUCUCGAAAAAUAUCCAGCUGCAUUCAGAUAUAUUUAGUAUACUGUGUGUGAGAGUGAGUGUAUGUGCAUAUGAGAGAAGAAGGGGACAAGUUCCAUCUACAGCAGGCUGUUUGGGCGGCAGCCAGUAGCCUGUGUAGUACAGUACAGUACGUCUUGCCAUUAGGAAGUGGCUAUAAAUAUCAAGUAGAAUAGAAGAGCUGCGGGCUAUUCUAGAAAAGGGUGUGUUUGUUUUGAUGUUGCUAGAUGCGUCUGUUCUCUCUGGGUGUCCCUUGAUGAUUGUAAUUGGUUUCAUGAUGCAUGACUUUGCAUUUCCUCCAAUAAAGAAUUCAUCUAAAAUAUUAAUUUAUUGCAUCCAUUUCUGUUGCUUUAA